This 468-nucleotide ribosomal RNA is filed under the name uncultured bacterium. RNAcentral's name for it is "partial 16S ribosomal RNA". It matches the Rfam family "Bacterial small subunit ribosomal RNA", at positions 28 to 507 of the family's 1533-position model. The record is from RNAcentral.
GACGAACGCUGGCGGCGUGCUUAACACAUGCAAGUCGAACGGAAAGGCCCUGCUUUUGUGGGGUUCUCGAGUGGCGAACGGGUGAGUAACACGUGAGUAACCUGCCCUUGACUUUGGGAUAACUUCAGGAAACUGGGGCUAAUACCGGAUAGGAGCUCCUGCUGCAUGGUGGGGGUUGGAAAGUUUCGGCGGUUGGGGAUGGACUCGCGGCUUAUCAGCUUGUUGGUGGAGUAGUAGCUUACCAAGGCUUUGACGGGUAGCCGGCCUGAGAGGGUGACCGGCCACAUUGGGACUGAGAUACGGCCCAGACUCCUACGGGAGGCAGCAGUGGGGAAUAUUGCACAAUGGGCGGAAGCCUGAUGCAGCAACGCCGCGUGCGGGAUGACGGCCUUCGGGUUGUAAACCGCUUUCGCCUGUGACGAAGCGUGAGUGACGGUAAUGGGUAAAGAAGCACCGGCUAACUACGUG